GUGCCAGCCGCCGCGGUAAUACCGGCAGCCCGAGUGACGGCCGAUCUUAUUGGGCCUAAAGCGUCCGUAGCUGGCCUCGCAAGUCCGUCGGGAAAUCCAGUAGCCCAACUACUGGGCGUCCGGCGGAAACUACACAGCUUGGGACCGGAAGGCUCGAAGGGUACGUUCGGGGUAGGAGUGAAAUCCCAUAAUCCCGCACGGACCACCGAUGGCGAAAGCACUUCGAGAAAACGGAUCCGACAGUGAGGGACGAAAGCCAGGGUCUCCAACCGGAUUAGAAACCCGUGUAGUCC
Molecule: ribosomal RNA, 293 nt
Filed under: uncultured bacterium
Lineage: Bacteria
Description: partial 16S ribosomal RNA
Rfam family: Archaeal small subunit ribosomal RNA
Source: RNAcentral